This 468-nucleotide ribosomal RNA is filed under the name uncultured bacterium. RNAcentral's name for it is "partial 16S ribosomal RNA". It matches the Rfam family "Bacterial small subunit ribosomal RNA", at positions 28 to 507 of the family's 1533-position model. The record is from RNAcentral.
GACGAACGCUGGCGGCGUGCUUAACACAUGCAAGUCGAACGGAAAGGCCCUGCUUUUGUGGGGUGCUCGAGUGGCGAACGGGUGAGUAACACGUGAGUAACCUGCCCUUGACUUUGGGAUAACUUCAGGAAACUGGGGCUAAUACCGGAUAGGAGCUCCUGCUGCAUGGUGGGGGUUGGAAAGUUUCGGCGGUUGGGGAUGGACUCGCGGCUUAUCAGCUUGUUGGUGGGGUAGUGGCUUACCAAGGCUUUGACGGGUAGCCGGCCUGAGAGGGUGACCGGCCACAUGGGGACUGAGAUACGGCCCAGACUCCUACGGGAGGCAGCAGGGGGGAAUAUUGCACAAUGGGCGGAAGCCUGAUGCAGCAACGCCGCGUGCGGGAUGACGGCCUGCGGGUUGUAAACCGCUUUCGCCUGUGACGAAGCGUGAGUGACGGUAAUGGGUAAAGAAGCACCGGCUAACUACGUG